Molecule: ribosomal RNA, 382 nt
Filed under: uncultured bacterium
Lineage: Bacteria
Description: bacterial SSU rRNA
Rfam family: Bacterial small subunit ribosomal RNA
Source: RNAcentral
AUUGAACGCUGGCGGCAUGCCUUACACAUGCAAGUCGAACGGCAGCACGGGGCAACCUGGUGGCGAGUGGCGAACGGGUGAGUAAUGCAUCGGAACGUGCCAUUGAGUGGGGGAUAACGUAGCGAAAGUUGCGCUAAUACCGCAUAUUCUGUGAGCAGGAAAGCAGGGGACCGCAAGGCCUUGCGCUCUUUGAGCGGCCGAUGUCAGAUUAGCUAGUUGGUGAGGUAACGGCUUACCAAGGCGACGAUCUGUAGCGGUCUGAGAGGAUGAUCCGCCACACUGGAACUGAGACACGGUCCAGACUCCUACGGGAGGCAGCAGUGGGAAUUUUGGACAAUGGGCGCAAGCCUGAUCCAGCCAUGCCGCGUGAGUGAAGAAGGCC